GAUGAACGCUGGCGGCGUGCCUAACACAUGCAAGUCGAGCGGAGAAUUGUUGCUUGCAACAAUUCUUAGCGGCGGACGGGUGAGUAACACGUGGGUAACCUGCCCUAAACAAAGGGAUAACAAUGAGAAAUCAUUGCUAAUACCGUAUAAGCUUACACUAUCGCAUGAUAGAGUAAGAAAAGAUUUAUCGGUUUAGGAGGGGCCCGCGUCUGAUUAGCUAGUUGGAGAGGUAACGGCUCACCAAGGCGACGAUCAGUAGCCGACCUGAGAGGGUGAUCGGCCACAUUGGGACUGAGACACGGCCCAAACUCCUACGGGAGGCAGCAGUGGGGAAUAUUGCACAAUGGAGGAAACUCUGAUGCAGCAACGCCGCGUGAAGGAAGAAGGUUUUCGGAUCGUAAACUUCUAUCUACAGGGAAGAAAAAAAUGACGGUACCUGAGUAAGAAGCCUCGGCUAACUACGUG
This 465-nucleotide ribosomal RNA is filed under the name uncultured bacterium. RNAcentral describes it as "partial 16S ribosomal RNA". It matches the Rfam family "Bacterial small subunit ribosomal RNA", at positions 28 to 507 of the family's 1533-position model. The record is from RNAcentral.